UACGUAGGUGGCAAGCGUUGUCCGGCAUUAUUGGUCGUAAAGCGCGCGCAGGUGGUUUAAUAAGUCUGAUGUAAAAGCCCACGGCUCAACCGUGGAAGGUCAUUGGAAACUGGAAAACUUGAGUGCAGAAGAGGAAAGUGGAAUUCCAUGUGUAGCGGUGAAAUGCGCAGAGAUAUGGAGGAACACCAGUGGCGAAGGCGACUUUCUGGUCUGUAACUGACGCUGAUGUGCGAAAGCGUGGGGAUCAAACAGG
This 253-nucleotide ribosomal RNA is filed under the name uncultured bacterium. RNAcentral's name for it is "partial 16S ribosomal RNA". It matches the Rfam family "Bacterial small subunit ribosomal RNA", at positions 524 to 776 of the family's 1533-position model. The record is from RNAcentral.